AUUCAUUUAAAUUGUUUGCUUUCUAAUUUUGUAUCUAAAUUUACCCUUUAUAAACAUGUCUAAAAACUAGUACACGUCUGGGUUUUUUAAUAUUUUACUGAAAUUAAGACAAAUAUAUAACACUCGGUAAACAUACUGUGUAUUGUCAUGAAAGCCGAACAGUUUCUAUCGGCUUAAAGUCCCAUUUGAACAUCGCCAUCAACUUGCAUAAGUACAUUUCGUUAGCCUCACGCAUAUGCACUUGGUAUAGAUGGAUGUUUGCUUUAACAUUCAAUCAAUUUGAUGGAUAGAUAUUUAAUGACCCUUUAAAUUAUAUCUCGAAAUCCAACAGAAAGCUGAUAUUUAAAACGUUUAAUACUGUCGAAUUAGGAUUUUCAUGGACCUAGUAUGUUUGUAUUUAAGUCUUUGUUCCCAAAAGCACAAUUUUCAUAUAAAUACAAUCUCAUGAGAGUAGCGAUACUGCAACAGGAAUUGCGGCUUUCGUCCGUCCCGCCAUUUGAUAAGUUCGCAGACCAAAACUUAAAAAAAAAAAAAAAAAAAACUUAUAAAAGACAAACUUCUGUAGGAUUGUGUCCAUUGUCUUUUUCUUUAUUGCAUGAAACUACAUGGAAUAUACGACGUAAGCUUUUAACAGACCACAUUUGACAGAAUUACUGACCUUAUUUAAUUCAGAUAGGAGUAGGGAGUUUGACACAUACUGAUUAUCAUAACAAUAAAUGCAGAUAUUAUCAAUAGACUUAACUAUGUCCUCUGUGUACAACUUUUUUUUUUUAACUUUUAUUGCAAAUUCAAAACGUUUAAUCAACAAAGACAUUUCAUUUUAUGAUUGUUGAUCGAAAACUUUGGCUAUACUAAUCAACUGUCUGGUUAUGGUGUCACAGUUUACGGAUUGUGACUUUGUGAAACAAACACAACACAACAUAUCAUGAUGCUCGUGUUUAAAAUAUGAGAUGAUAGAGUGAUGAUGGUUUUCUUUUACUUCAUAUACUUCCUUUUCGUUAAAUGAACUUUGUAAUAAAAGUUGUUAAAUGAUUUGGUGUAUUAAAUCUUUCUUUUUGAAUCUCUUUAUAAUAUCUUCAUUCCAGGUUCGUUUACUUUUUCUUCCUUUGCAUGGUGCAAUUGUUGAAUUUCUAACGAAGGUGUCCUGGUUAAGGUAACUAUAUACAAAACAGCUUACUACAAAUUGCAAAACGGGAAGUAAAUACUUCAGUAGGAGUAACUUCCUGAAGUUUUCGAUAAAAUAAAAGACUUUUACUCUAACCCAUGACUCAGCAGAAUACAUUUUUUAAAUGUAUUUUUAAAUCAAUAUUUAACUUAGAAUGGUUUUUAUUUUAAAUGAAUGAUUAAUGUGCAGUAAUAACAGAUCUAUCAGUAUAAUAAAAUGCAGAAUACAAAUGUAUCUGAGAUAGCGCAGCCCAAAUGAUAUUGUCAACAUUGGCUUUGCUACAGUUGGCAACCUUUUCUCGGCGUAACAAUCUUUUUAUCACCCUCUCAGUUAUUUGUUAUUUAUAGAAUACCAUUUUUCAUGCAACCCGAUUCCAGAUGUGGAUCGAAAUUGUGGAAUCUAUGACAUAUACAUUGCGUGUGAAUGUGUUUUAGAUUUUGUUGAUUCAAUAGGUAACUGAUAGUUGUCUCAUUGGCAAUCAAACAACAUCUUCUUAGUUAUGUAUUUUUGAAAUAAUAAUUUUGAAUUUCAAAUGGUAUGAAGUAUGUUAGAAGUUUAAGCUGAUCCAGCAUUUAUGAAAAUGACAAAUAAACGAAAAAGUUCCAAGGAAUGGGCCUCUGAAUAUAUAUCUACAAGCUUCAUUUCAUUCCAUAAUUACACUCUCAAGAUAUAAAUUUGAUUAGCUCGCCAUUUUUGUAUUAACUUUAUUUUUAGAUGAUUACAUUACAGAUGAAGUGUAUAACUUGAACAGAUAAUCUCAGCACGUAAAAACAAAGUUUAAGGAUAAAAUUACAUAAACACCUCAAUAGUUUUAUCAUUUACAGUGAUUUUGAUUUUGAUUUCUUUUUUGUAUUGUACAAUUAGUGUUCUUGAUAAUGUGUAUUGAUAACAAUAAUUCUUAUUUGUCAACGCAUUGCUGUGUAGUUAUUGCUGUCAAUCUUAUUUGUCUUGCAAAUUCUUUUUAUAGGGCAAACACUAUUAUCAAUCACUGUCUAAAUUCAUAAAGAGAAUGUGAUUUAUAAGGUCUGUAGUAUCCAGGCUUCACCUUUUUUAUCCUUCGAACAAUAUGUGGUUAUACGAUUAUUUUUUCGGGCACCUUAAAUUUUGAUUUCAUAGUUACUUUAUUAGUGAAUACUUUAAUUUUGGAUGUAGCGCGUCCUCUGAUUGGCUGAGGUUAAUUUGUUAUGAGCCCAUAGACAUAAUUUAGUCAUGUGACCGUGACGUCAUCAACGUUUUUUCAUGGUUUUCUACGGUUUAAGAUGGAAUUAGAAUUAAAUUAUAAGAAAUGACUGUAAUAUUUUUUUCUGUCUAUUUGAAAUAACAUAAAAAAUGUGGUGCACACUGUUAAAUAACCCGCUACGCGCGUUAUUCAGUGUGCACCAAAUUUUUAAUGUUAUUUCUUCAUACACAGAAAAAAUAUUACAGUCAUUCCUUAAUUGAAAUGACAUACAUUAGUGAACACAGUUUAAUUUGAAAUGGUUAAAUUAAUCAGCAGCCAUGGCGUUGUCAGUUUAUUUUCGAUUUAUGAAUUUGACUGUCCCUCUGGUAUCUUUCGCCCUUUUGUUUUACUACAUGUAGCAUGUUUGGCGACCGAUUACGUUAGGCUGGAAUAAAAUGAUAAUUUGGUUAAGAUUUUGCAUCUUGAGACAAUAAAGCAUGUUUGUAUACAUGUAAUGUCAUGGCAUCACCGACUAAUUUCCUUAUACGCACGUGGAAUUUAAUUUUAUAGUUUUUGUUAUAAGUUAUAUUACAUAUUUUCUUUUGUAAUAUGUGAAACAUUGUCAUUCAUAACAUGACACAAUAUUUGUAUAACUGAGUAAAAAUAGCGCGAAGGUUUCAUUAUGAGCAGAUAUGAGCAAAUUUUAUCACAAAAGCUUGUUGUAUUGUCCGAAUAAUUGUUGUGUAUAUAAUACCCUUGCCAUAAAUAAAAAUUAAACAUGA
This 3106-nucleotide long non-coding RNA is filed under the name Mytilus galloprovincialis (Mediterranean mussel). The record is from RNAcentral. Lineage: Eukaryota; Metazoa; Mollusca; Bivalvia; Mytilida; Mytilidae.